GUGGUAAGUGUGGUGAUAAUGAUUUGCACAGCUAAGGUAGUUCAAGGAAACCAUCGAACACUGAAAAUAUACACAAAAAUGUUUUUUUUUGCUUACUCUGUGAGAGUAUGUAUAAUAGUUUUUGUACUUAUUCUUAUUUCUGUUUUCCCAAGUGAACAUGUAUCAUUGUGAUACACACCACCACACUUUUUUCUUUCUUUUUUUUAAGAUCCUUCUUACAUUUUAAGAUAGAAACUUCAGGCCCUUCCUUUCCCAAUGCUUCUCCAGUCUUACAGUCACUUUUGGUCAAGGGUUCUUUUGUCGGUGGUCCUUGAGCCUAGAACUAAACAGCUAUUUCUAGAUCUGACUCCUAAUGAUACAGAGAUGGAUAAAAGAGAAAAAAAAUAUAUCGGGAAUUCCCCACAGUCCAGUGGUCAGGACUCCGUGCUUUCACGGCUGAGGGCCCAGGUUCAAUCUCUGGUUUGGGGAACUAAGAUUCCACAAGCUGUGUGGCGCAGCCAAAAAAAAAAAAAACACAAUUAAAAACAAAAAAGGAAGAAAAAAUAUCAUACGACA
Long non-coding RNA from Orcinus orca (killer whale), 555 nucleotides. RefSeq lists it as uncharacterized. NCBI's taxonomy places the organism in Eukaryota, Metazoa, Chordata, Mammalia, Artiodactyla, Delphinidae. The record is from RefSeq and is a predicted model, not a curated record. The transcript has 2 exons.